Small nuclear RNA from Callithrix jacchus (white-tufted-ear marmoset), 104 nucleotides. NCBI's taxonomy places the organism in Eukaryota, Metazoa, Chordata, Mammalia, Primates, Cebidae. The record is from Ensembl.
AUGCUCGCUUCGGCAGCACAUAUACUAAAACUGGAACGAUGCAGAGAUUAGCAUGGCCCCUGUGCAAGGAUGACACACAAAUUCACAAAGCGUUCCAUAUUCUU